This 69-nucleotide transfer RNA is filed under the name Balamuthia mandrillaris. RNAcentral describes it as "tRNA-Ser". The record is from RNAcentral. Lineage: Eukaryota; Discosea; Longamoebia; Balamuthiidae.
AAAAAACAAGGGCGUCGUUUUCGUAGAUUGAAUUUACGUAUUGCGGCAGCGUUAACUCGCGGGUUUUUG